Molecule: long non-coding RNA, 4447 nt
Organism: Setaria italica (foxtail millet)
Lineage: Eukaryota; Viridiplantae; Streptophyta; Magnoliopsida; Poales; Poaceae
Exons: 3
Source: RefSeq, a predicted model, not a curated record
GGCCGGCGGGGGCGGCGCCCAGGCGUCCGGCGGCGCGGGCGUCCGGCGGCCGGCGGCCCGCGGCGGGAGCCUGGCAGGGGCGGCCGCCGGAGGUAGGGACGCGGCCCGGCCGACCCCAGGGGCGGCGCCGGGAUCUGCAGGGGGGCGGCGGCGGGAUCUGGAGCGGCGGCGGCGGGAGGAGCGGCGGCGGUCGCCUGGAGGUCGAGGGUACCAGGGGAAAAUUUCUCCGCUUGCCCCAGAAGCGUGGUCUGACCCGCGUGGGAGAUAAGCGGAGUGCUAGUUGUAUUUCAGAUUCUCCAAUAAGCGGCUUACGUGACAAGCGGAAAAUAAGCAAGGUGUUUGGGUGGGUUUAUCGCUUAUUUUCACCAAUAAGCGGGAAAUAAGCGACUCCAAACAGGGCCUAAGAAUAGCCUUAGCCAAGCCAAGGGGCUCCUACCAGCAUCUGCUGGGGAGGCCCUGCGUCUGCGCGCUGUUCCAGUGCAGCUGUCGCGGCUCGUCGAUCGGAUGCGACAUCACCAUGGGGGUCAUCUGUGCAGCCGCCGGCUCGGCGGCGACGCUGCUCGUGACCUACAUCCACAAGCUCCGCCGCCGCGCCAACGCUGCCAACAACCCCGCGCCGCCCCCGGCCUUCGGCGUCCCACAGCCACCGCCACCGUACCACUACCACCCAUGAAGCAAGUUAGCCGCCGCGAUCAUGGCUUGUGACUUGGUGUUUCCGUUGGUAGAAUGUAACCUGAGUUGAUGCUUCAUGCCGACACAAAGCAUAUAACCUUAGCCUAUCUCAGUCAAUAGAUUGAUUACGCGUGAUUAUUUCCGCUAUCAAUAAUCUUUAUCUUUAUCUUUACCUAAUAUUAAAGCAAGCAACUAAUCCUUCGUGUUUUCUGCCAGGUUAGUUUAGUUUUUCGUCCGUCCGAUGCUACUUAUCAGUUUUUUCGGUCCGUCGGUACGUGCUCAGACGCAGGGAAUUACCGAUACGGAGCCGACCUCGAGGCUCGAACGUCGCCGCUGCAAUCGAGCCCUUGGCGCGCACGCCAAGGAGCGUCGCCGGGGCCCGUCUAGCAUGCCGAACCCAAUCCGCGAGUGCUCGGCGGCUCCGUUCCAGCCCUCCCGCGCCGUCGCUCCGCUGCCCUGGCGCACUCGCCGUCCGCGUGUUGUCCAAAGCAAGGCAGGUAAGCACCGUCCAUCUUCAGCCUCGGACCUUGCUGCUCUGUUGCCGCACGGCGUCGUCCCUGGUCGAGCGGCCGUGGUGUGCCCAGCAUGUCUGAGUCUGACGUUAAUUUGUUCUGUGCUCCUUCUAUGCUACAAAAUGUGUUGAUCUGAUGUGAUUUGCUUGCUCGGUGGUGUUAGCUCUGCUUGCUGCUGCAGUGCUGCUUCGUGGUCAGCAGUGCUACUGCAUGCACUUUGGUUGUUCGAUGAAAUGCCUGUUCAAGUUAAUUAUUACUUUGGCAAUUGUGCUGGCAUAUGCUAGCUGCAGGUAGUUUAUAAUUAGAUGAUGUGGCCUUCUUUGAACAAACAAAUUGUGUGAUUUUUUUAUGACCCUUUUAACUGUUAAAAUAACAACCAUUCAGAUAUAUAGGCUAUAACAGUAAUGCAACCAUUCAAAAUAUAGAGAUGAAUCUUAUGGGGUGGAUAGGCAAAUAGAGAUAUAGAGAGUCUGACUUGGUGAGUACAUGCUGGACAUGGUGUAAGAGAGACAAAGAUGGAAAACCAGAUACACAUUGAACUCUAGCGCCAAGUAUUUUGACACCUUCUUUGACUUGAUGAGGGCAUCAAAUGAACGAAGUGAGUACCAAUUACAUUGAAUCAUCCUUCGCCUGCAUGCUUUACUUGUGAAAAAAAUUCAAUAGAGAAUAUCCUCUCGCUUGAGUCUUUCUGCAUCCCACAAAAUGCUAGGAAAAUCAUCGGCAUCGGUGUGCCACGUCAGCAACGUCAAUUUUCUAAUUAAAGACAAUGGCUAAGAAACACGAUGGGUUUAUGAUUUUCUAGAGCUUUCCCGCUCAUUUAGAUAGAUAUUCUAGAUAAUAUUGAUAUUCAAUUUACAUUUCUGCGAUACAAUUGAUCAAUCGCGAGCUGUUUUUCUUGUAGAUGGCUUCUUUGAAAUAAUCUGAGGACCCUCCGUUGAUAAACCUAAACGGGACCCACCAGCAUAGACGGUGACAACAUUAGAAAUGGCAAUGGGUCCAUGACAAUUGACAUUGAGCUACCACCUACUCACAGAUCCUAAAGAACAUAAAAGUCAGCUAGCAAGAAAGAAAUAGGUAUGCACAAAUGUCUCACCAUCAAAAGGAUGAAUUACUAAAAAAUGGCACCUCAAUUACUAAAAAAACAUGCCAUUUUUCAUUGGUUUGUUUUAUCAAUCUUAUAUCCAAUCUUGCUCAAGAAAAUUAAUAUUAUUUAGGCCCGAAUUCCUAAUAUUAUUGAAGUCUAUUUUGAUAAUAAUUAAUAUGGAUAUAAAUCAAGUCAUCCUUGAGGUUUUGGUCAUGUUUGCUGGGCAAUGGGUAGGCAAGAAUUUUUUUCCCCUCCCGUUACAACGCACGGGUAUAUUUGCAGGCAUAGUUGGUAGUAGAAUGGUAAGUUUAACACGGUCAGCAUACUCAUGUCUUAGAAUACACAGCAGACAAAGUUCUGACUUCUGAGCAUAAGAGAACAACAAGUCUGGUCGGCUAGAUUAAGAUGAUGACAAGUAGUUCUUGGAUGAUAGAGUAGGCUAAUAAGUAACGCGGCUGUGCACAGCUGCGAUUAUUGUUUGAUGGGCCAUGUGGUCGUAGGCUUACGCCCUGUUUGAUACAAACUCCUAAAGUUUAGUAGUGUACUAAAGUUUAGGACCCUUAAAUUGCUAGUUCUAACAGGGCUGUUUGGAUGGACUACUAAUCUUUAGGAUCUUAGAGGGAAAAUAUCAUUUUUACCCCUCAAUUACUCCUCUAAACUACCCCUACACUGUUCACGUCAUUAAUGCAUGCGAGGACAAUAGGGAAAGGGGGACUUAGGGACCACUUUUAGGAGAAAUAGGAUCCAUUAUGACCCCUUGGCCCUCCUAAUGAGAGGUUGGGGCUUCUCUGUCUCCUUUGCAUGUCUCCAUCCAUGUCUCUGCACACGUGGAUGCCAUCCGUUCACUUCUUGGGCCCUUUAAUUUUUCCUCAGCCCACGACAACAGAAAACGGAGUCAGGAAACGAAGGGUUAGGGAGAAUGGCCCCACGUGCGCUUGUUUCUUUGGCCCCACUAACGUAAUUACGAGGGUUAGGGAGAAUUAAUGGAGGGAAAAGCUGCCUAAUUUUGAAGAAAAUGGCGCCAAUUACAGCGGGUGCAGUUUUUAUCGGCCGCCAAGCUAACAACACUAAAAACACAAAAAGAUAAUUAUCAGAUUUCCAUCUUCCUCAUCUCCCACACAACAACAAUGGCAUCUCAGUCAAAUCACAUUACACCUAUCAACGAAGACAACUACUUGGAUCGGGCACCGCCAUUACUUCCACAAGUACUAAGCAUGGCCAUGCCGCCGGUUGCAGGUACCACAUCCUCGCCAAAUUUCUGUAGGAUCAACAUUCCUUCUGGUCAUACGGAAUGAAUAGAGUUAGAAAAUGAUUCUGGUAAAUUUGAUUUUGCUACUCGAGUAGAAAAUUCUCUAGAAGACAGGAUACCAAAGGUUGGUAUGAAAUUCUGCACUGAGGAAGAAGCCUAUAACUUUUACAAUGCUUACGCCAGAUACAAGGGUUUCAGCAUCCGAAGGAGUAGUUCACACAAUGUUAAAAAUACUACAACAAUAAAGAACAGAACCUUUUGUUGUUCUCGUGCAGGUAUUCGGGGUCCUGAUAAAAGAGAAGAAAAUUCCAAGUACAGUAGGCCUGAGACACGAUGCAUGUGUCAAGCACGCAUGAAGAUAAGUCUCACGGAUGGGUUGUACUACAUCUAUGAAUUUGAGCCUGAGCAUAACCAUAUUCUUGCUACUGUCAUCCAAGCCCAGUACUUAAGAUCUCAAAGGAGAAUAACUACAGCACAGAUUGCCAGUGUCGAAGCUGCUAAAGCGGUUGGGGUUUCAAAUAAAGCCACUUUUGAUCUCAUGGCAAAAGAAGCCGGUGGAAAUGAGAAUCUUGGAUUUACGCGUGAAGAUAUGAAAAAUAAAUUAUAUUCAAAGAGAUCAAUGAAGGUAAAACAAGGAGACACGGGAGGAGUGUUGGAAUAUUUGGAGAAGAAAGCAUCAGAAGAUGGGAAGUUUUUCCAUUCCUUUCAGGUUGACGAUGAUGACUUGAUAACGAAUAUUUUUUGGGCUGAUUCUAAAAUGGUUUCAGACUAUGAAAUUUAUGGUGAUGUCGUUUGCUUUGACACAACAUACAGAAAGCUAAAUGAUGGGCGUCCAUUCGGUUUGCUAGUUGGAGUGAACAAUCAUAAGAAAACUACUAUUUUUGGUGCUGCACUUUUGUAUGACGAAACUGCUGAAAGUUUUGUGUGGCU